This 429-nucleotide ribosomal RNA is filed under the name Actinomycetes bacterium. Its description in RNAcentral is "Actinobacteria bacterium partial 16S ribosomal RNA". It matches the Rfam family "Bacterial small subunit ribosomal RNA", at positions 355 to 776 of the family's 1533-position model. Lineage: Bacteria; Bacillati; Actinomycetota; Actinomycetes. The record is from RNAcentral.
UAGGGAAUCUGCCGCAAUGGGCGAAAGCCUGACGGAGCAACGCCGCGUGAGUGAUGAAGGUCUUCGGAUCGUAAAACUCUGUUAUUAGGGAAGAACAAAUGUGUAAGUAACUAUGCACGUCUUGACGGUACCUAAUCAGAAAGCCACGGCUAACUACGUGCCAGCAGCCGCGGUAAUACGUAGGUGGCAAGCGUUAUCCGGAAUUAUUGGGCGUAAAGCGCGCGUAGGCGGUUUUUUAAGUCUGAUGUGAAAGCCCACGGCUCAACCGUGGAGGGUCAUUGGAAACUGGAAAACUUGAGUGCAGAAGAGGAAAGUGGAAUUCCAUGUGUAGCGGUGAAAUGCGCAGAGAUAUGGAGGAACACCAGUGGCGAAGGCGACUUUCUGGUCUGUAACUGACGCUGAUGUGCGAAAGCGUGGGGAUCAAACCGG